RNAcentral lists this transfer RNA (64 nucleotides) under Ochthebius plesiotypus. Its description in RNAcentral is "tRNA-Ile". The record is from RNAcentral. Lineage: Eukaryota; Metazoa; Arthropoda; Insecta; Coleoptera; Hydraenidae.
GAUAAAGUGUCUGACAAAAGAAUUAUUUUGAUAGAAUAAAUCAUGUGAAUUUUCACCUUUAUUA